GGCACAAUGGCUUAGUUGGCUAAAGCAUCUGCCUUGCAAACAUAAGAUCCUGGGUGCAACUCCCAGUGGUGCCU
Molecule: transfer RNA, 74 nt
Filed under: Pelodiscus sinensis (Chinese soft-shelled turtle)
Lineage: Eukaryota; Metazoa; Chordata; Testudines; Trionychidae
Rfam family: tRNA
About the family: Transfer RNA (tRNA) molecules are approximately 80 nucleotides in length. Their secondary structure includes four short double-helical elements and three loops (D, anti-codon, and T loops).
Source: Rfam by way of RNAcentral